AAAUAUGCAUCAAACGAAUAUUAAACCCGAGUCCUUCCCCUUUUAUUUUCUCAGGGAAAUAAGAAUUUAUUAGUAUCUAUUUGGAAACACAUUCCCACUGUAAAAAAAUCAAAGGGAAAGAGGUGGACCUUAACUCUUACCAAUUUGCAAUUUCUCUGGGCUAUUAAGCAGUGUCUCUAUACUUGCUAAUUUUAUCUAACUUAGUUCAACGAUAAAGAAAAAGGUUAAAAUAAGCACAAAACUGGAUUUUUAAGACUAAAUUAAGCCCCUUUCUUUCCUUUAACUUCUCAAGUUCCUAUCUUUACAGAUUACAAAGAACCUGGAUCCUUCACUUUUCAUACACUUGCACAUUUAUUUUAUCUCUUUUCACCACUCAAUUAAAUAUUUGUUUUGGUGGAUCGAACAAUUGAACAGCUUGAAACUCCAAACCAAGAUUCCAAGCUUUAUCAAAAACAUGUACACAUAAUUUAGUUUUUUUUUUCCCCCAAGACUUUUAGAAACAGAAAGAUGCAAAAGCUCCAACCUUCCAAUCGGUACUACAAAACCGAAAUACCCCCAUCAACUGAAAUUGGAAAAAAUAAGAAAAAUAAAUGCAAACUACCCAUGUUUUUUUUUUUUUCAAAAAUAGACAGUAAAUAACAAAAUUAGAAACCAAACAAAUACUCGUGUAUAUACAGUCAUACAGAAAUCAGAAAUUCAGUGAAUAUGAACAUAUCUUCAAACUAGUAAAUAAACUUUUGGAAAAUAGCAGAGCUCCUUACGAGUUUGUGGAUGGUCGGGGGUGCGUGGUGGGGGCGGUAUUAGGGAUAAGGGGGUUACAGGGUGGGUUAGGCGCUCCUUUAGGAUUGUGUGUGAAUGUGGGUUCUAGGGGUGGUUGGGGUAACUGAGGUGGUGGGGUUAGGUAAUGCGUGGAAAUAAACCGGUUAACUUUUCUAUUUUCGAUCUACAGCCUGCAGUGUGCGGUCCGGUUCCCUAUUUUGGUUUUUUAUUUUCUUAAUUUUAC
Molecule: long non-coding RNA, 1003 nt
Filed under: Olea europaea (common olive)
Lineage: Eukaryota; Viridiplantae; Streptophyta; Magnoliopsida; Lamiales; Oleaceae
Description: long non-coding RNA (OEUR_LNC012158)
Source: RNAcentral